This 3451-nucleotide long non-coding RNA is filed under the name Daphnia magna. Its description in RNAcentral is "uncharacterized LOC116934014". Lineage: Eukaryota; Metazoa; Arthropoda; Branchiopoda; Diplostraca; Daphniidae. The record is from RNAcentral.
AAAUCCAGCACCCCCCCACACACACACGUUGCAAGCGUAAUUCGCUUAUACACAAGCCUCUCUAACGCGACUCUUUAUGUGGUGUGCACCGUAUUGAUGCUGUACCCAUCCGUUCUUGAUCUCCCGGUGGCUUUACGAGAUUGUGUAUUUUUAUUUUCUUCCUCAAACAAGUUGGUGGAAGGUGCGCGAUUGAAAGCGGCUGAGAAAGACAACAAGAUUGUCAACGUUGAAUAUGCAAAUUGCAUCAUUUAUUUUAUUUAAAUUCUUUUUUUUUCAAACGAUCAUUGUACUGCAUUUAUCCCUUAAUUUCUGACGUUUACAUUUUGGUAUCGUCUCGUAUGAGCAUCCGUAUACGUUGACAAAGCAUCAAAUUGGCAUUCCGCUUUAGCCAAUCAAAGCUUUUUCUGGGUGGCCUUACUUUUAACGUUCAUUAACGAAUUCCGGCAGGGGCUUCACGAGGAGAAAAGGAAAUGAGGGCUUGUUCUUGUAAAGGCGUUGCUACUACUGCGCAAUUCAAUAGGAGUUUCAAUCAUUUUGGUGCAGAGGAAUGUCCUCUAUUUGCUUCUAAGUGCUCCGGCCUCUGCGGUCAAUAAGCUCGACUAUGCAACGAGAAAGGAAGUACGGCCCAAGCCAGACAGACUAAUGGUAAGCCUUCUAUCACCAUGACAACGAUUAUGCAUAAUACACUAGAAGGAGCCAGCAGGAUGGCUGCGUCUCAACACUUAUGGGAGUGCAGAUCUAACUGCUCGGGAGACAUUUAGACACACAAAUGUUGUAAUAACACAGUGAAAGAGAUGGUCUAUAGCUUUCUUUAAGAGUGAUGAUCCAACUUAGAUGAUGGACCAUCCACGGACUCUGGAGAGAGAUACUUUGGUGGGUGGCAGCCAAGAAAGUUCAACUGGAACACGGGCCAAACCAACAUCGGCCUUUACAUAUGAUGUAGAAGGCGUAGAAAACUUGAAAAAACUGUGAAGACAUAAAUUGAUGGGGCUUACCGUCCUGCUCAAUGCUGACGAGCAGCAUGCCGUGGGCACCGGGUCGAUCGCGGAGUAAGUCGAUGAGCAACUGCGAAGCCAUACUGCCCUGGAGUGAGGCCGGCCGGGCAAGCGGUGAUUCGAAGAUGGGCUGGAUGGCCAUGAAAGGCGUCAUGAAAUGAAGUAAAAUGACCAGCUGCGGAUCAUCCACCUCGACGACGCUCAUCGAUGCUCGUCCGGUUUGAGGCAGCUGCGAUGAUUCAAAUUCAAGUUGAAUUCCAUCAUUGGUCAGGCAACGACAAGUCCAAGAACAAGUGAUGCGAGCCCGGAAAGAAAGAAAAAAAAGAUAGGAACAGAAAGACAAAAGAAAAUGAGAAAAACAAAAAAAAAGAAACAUGUCAUUGGAUAACCGAUUUGUAAUGUUACGACACGCGAUUUUGAAGCUGUGGCAUGUCAUUAUAUUUGACUUUUGGAGCUAGAAAAAUAGAACACGCUGAAUAACUCAACGGCUCCAAAGUUGUGGGUUAAAAAAAAAAAAAAACAAAGUCAAGAGCAGAAAAAAGACGUGAAGAAAUAUAAAAAAAUCAUUCUUCCGUGGUUCGAAAAUAGCCGCAGUCGUUCACGCAGCCAUCGGCAAAAAGAGGAAAUGAACUCGACACUCAUUUUGGCCUGUUCUUUUUGGUUUUAGGUUGUCUACUGCGGAACGCCAUUUAAACCACGUUUUUACACGCAACUUUUGAUUCCCAAAUAAAUGGUAAAACCGGAGAACAGUCAAACGGCGUUCCGUGUUCUUUUAUUCUAAUCCCCAUCGCCGCAAGAAAAAAGAGCAGUUGAUUGUGGGGCGAUGUCGGAGGAAAGGCUAUUUACGUUUCAACAAUUACUUGGUUCCAGAAAUACAUCGGCGAGUGUUAAGUCAUUUAUCAAAGGAUGCCAAUUAUCUGCAAAUUGAACCGAAGCGAUUCUUACAUACGACCUUUACUAGAAUAAACCUUUUCGCACUUGCUUAGCUUCCGGGCCUUUUUUUUUUUUUAAUUCUUUUCUUCUUUGCGUGUUCCACGGUGGUCGAAUUGUUAGACGCUUUUGGAUCGAUAUAGAAUCCGGCGAACCACUCUUUGUUGUUGUUGUUCAAUACCCCUACAACGCCAAAGGAAAUUGCCUAAAGUCCUUAUCAGAGAAAGAAAAUGAUCGAUUCACUUGUUGUAAUAAAUCAUUCAAUUUCCAAUUGUGGAAUGGGAAGAGAGUUUUUAAGAGAAAGCCGGUCGUGUUGGUCCUGUUCAGUUUUUGUACCACAAGAAUAUUUUUCCUAGAAACAGUUGCUAAUAAUAUGGUCGCUAUCCAUUGCACCGGAAUCAGCAGAGUGAAGAACAGGCAGUUGCAUGUUCUAUUUACAUGGAUUUCGACAAGCGUAUAUACGUACCCCUCCAUCGGCUGGACCUCUACUACUCUUGGCCCGCCCGGAAUCAAAACAAGGAGGAGAGAACAUGGAAAGCCAAAAGCGUCUCCUCCGUAGACACACACACACAGAGAGAGAAAGAGAGAGAGAAAGUGGGAGAACUUUGGAAGAGACAAGAAACAAGGGUUUAUUUAUACGCCAACCAAGCGACAAGCGCACCCACCGUGAUACCAAACUACAUACAUCUACUUACCCGGACGCCCCAGGUCGCUACAUCUCCCUGAAAGUAUUUAUGCAAAACGUAUAGACUGGCUCUCUCUUUUAGCCACAAUAAAAUGAUACAGCCUAGUGAACGAGUACAACACAAUGUCUGCAAACACUUUGUGAUAAACCAAGCGAUCGCAGAUGAACAUUGAGAUGGUACGCACAGCUGAGCGUCACUCAAGCCAAGAUUUCCGAGCCUAUAUACGCGACGACAAAGUCCUUUAGAGCCGGUAUAGCCAUCAUGAACUGCAACCUACUGACAAGGAGUAUGCUUCUAUUUGCCAAGAAGUCAGUAUAAAAGGAAAGGAAAUCCUGAUGACUGAGUUAGAAAAGAAGAAACAACUUUGUAUCCUAUCGAGAAAUUGCAUGUAUACCUAUCCAAUUCCAAUUCACUGAAGCCCUAUAUAUUCCAAUGGGGGGAGGGGAUGCUAUUGUGUGCUCCAAUCAAACCACUCGUACCUAAUCAGAACUGUAUAACCAUUGCCAAGAAAAAUGUUAUUCGCGGAGUAUCGAAGGGCAAAUUGACUCUACUCUAAAAAAGAGUUAAAGGCCAUCACGUGUCAUCGCUGGAACGUAUAUAGUUAUGCACAUGAUCACCGUGUGCGAUGGCAUUCCAUCCAAUCCUUACUUAUUCUUUUCAUGGGCGUUGUUCGAAAUUGAAAAGCCAUUCGUUCUUAGUGCCAAGGAGACAAACCGAUGAAAGGCAAUAGAAGAAUAACGCUAUUCGUUCGGAUGGAGCUCCUGACCAGCGAUUGAGAUAUUCAUUCGUUUUGGCCGGAAUCCAUAUUAUCUGAGCGGAUCGUGAUGCGAUCUUCUUGAU